GCUCAGAUGUAUCAUACUCCUGAAGUUGGAUUAAUUAAAAACAAGAAAGUUUGCCUGGAUGAAUCAUUCAAUGCUUCAGCUGCUACAGCAGCUAUUGAUGCUGUUAAAGAUGUUGCAAAGAAAAUUAGGUCAAGAAUGGCUUAUCUUAAAUCUAAAGAGAAGAUGAAUAGGAUUUUUGAUGGCACUAAAUCUCUUUCCUUGAGAUUCUUGAUUCCGAAGAUUCUGGAGAUUGUGACAGUGAUGAUUGCUUGCCUCAUAUUGUGGAUUUUGAGGCAGAUUUCAAUGAAAAUGAGUCACCUAUUGAUGCAAGGCCCUUGUCCUCCCAAAUUGCUCUCAAUUCUAACUCUUUCCACCCAAAUGUGAGAACAUAUAACAAUUUGAAGACUCUGAGCAAUAACAAGGAUAAAGGAAAAUUUGAUGCUGAAUUUGUCAGGAAAAGGGCAUUCCAAGAUCUCACA
This is a non-coding RNA of Oryza sativa Japonica Group (Japanese rice), 458 nucleotides long. Lineage: Eukaryota; Viridiplantae; Streptophyta; Magnoliopsida; Poales; Poaceae. The record is from RefSeq and is a predicted model, not a curated record.